Molecule: ribosomal RNA, 471 nt
Filed under: uncultured Sphingobacteriales bacterium
Lineage: Bacteria; Pseudomonadati; Bacteroidota; Sphingobacteriia; Sphingobacteriales
Description: bacterial SSU rRNA
Rfam family: Bacterial small subunit ribosomal RNA
Source: RNAcentral
UUGACGGGGCCCGCACAAGCGGAGGAACAUGUGGUUUAAUUCGAUGAUACGCGAGGAACCUUACCUGGGCUUAAAUGUAGAGUGCAUUUUUUAGAGAUAGAAAUUCCCUUCGGGGCUUUCUGCAAGGUGCUGCAUGGUUGUCGUCAGCUCGUGCCGUGAGGUGUCGGGUUAAGUCCCAUAACGAGCGCAACCCUUAUCGUUAGUUGCCAGCUGGUAAAGCAGGGGACUCUAGCGAAACUGCCACCGUAAGGUGAGAGGAAGGUGGGGAUGACGUCAAAUCAGCACGGCCCUUAUGUCCAGGGCUACACACGUGUUACAAUGGCCGGCACAGAGGGCAGCUACCUGGUGACAGGAUGCUAAUCUCGAAAACCGGUCUCAGUUCGGAUCGAAGUCUGCAACUCGACUUCGUGAAGCUGGAUUCGCUAGUAAUCGCGCAUCAGCCAUGGCGCGGUGAAUACGUUCCCGGGCCUU